GAGAGAGAGAGAUUUGCUUGGAGGCAAAAUGGUCCAGCUCCACAGGUUAACGAAAAAAAAACUAAUUCCAAUAAUGUAAUAAUAUAACCAUGUUAUUUCAAUGUGUUCUGUUAAACUUGAUACAAUCAUUGUAAAUGUGAGAGCCCUGUAAUUAGCUAAAACUGUAUUAGACUAGUAGAAUGCACUUGUGUCAGCUUGGAGUUGUCAUGCUCACUCAAAGGUCUCAUUGGCGGUGGCACGGGCAUUGGAUCGCUCGAUUCCCUGCAACAUGGUUGAGUUGGGCGGUGCUGGUGUACGUGUCAUGUUCGUGAACGGGCGCUGUCAACUGGGACUGGUCAGCUCCGGACUGCAUUAAUUUUUAUUGUCCUCUAGGUUAUUUUCUUUUUCUGUCGCUUUGACUGUAUAUUAGUUUUACAUUGUUCUCACAUAGUUGAAGUAAUCAAAACAAUGUAACCAAGAAUUGUAUUGUGAAUCUGAUUGAAAAAGAGUAACCUAUGGAGUUUCUUGCUCGUUCUUCUCCAUAGGAAUCUACACUUUGGAACGAGCAAAUAGCUUCACUAGAGGACUGACCGACAGACAGACGUUAUUAAUAUUAUUAUAUUUGCUUUGACGUUCAAAAGUGCCUUUCUGGUCUAUUUGAAAUAAAUGAUUUUGACUUUGA
Spodoptera frugiperda (fall armyworm) is the source of this 661-nucleotide long non-coding RNA. RefSeq lists it as uncharacterized. The transcript is spliced from 2 exons. The record is from RefSeq and is a predicted model, not a curated record. NCBI's taxonomy places the organism in Eukaryota, Metazoa, Arthropoda, Insecta, Lepidoptera, Noctuidae.